CCUACGGGGGGCAGCAGUGGGGAAUAUUGGACAAUGGGGGGAACCCUGAUCCAGCCAUGCCGCGUGUGUGAAGAAGGCCCUCGGGUUGUAAAGCACUUUCAGUGAGGAAGAACGCCUGGUGGUUAAUACCCAUCAGGAAAGACAUCACUCACAGAAGAAGCACCGGCUAACUCCGUGCCAGCAGCCGCGGUAAGACGGAGGGUGCGAGCGUUAAUCGGAAUUACUGGGCGUAAAGCGCGCGUAGGUGGCUUGAUAAGCCGGUUGUGAAAGCCCCGGGCUCAACCUGGGAACGGCAUCCGGAACUGUCAAGCUAGAGUGCAGGAGAGGAAGGUAGAAUUCCCGGUGUAGCGGUGAAAUGCGUAGAGAUCGGGAGGAAUACCAGUGGCGAAGGCGGCCUUCUGGACUGACACUGACACUGAGGUGCGAAAGCGUGGGUAGCAAACAGGAUUAGAUACCCUGGUAGUC
Molecule: ribosomal RNA, 465 nt
Filed under: Vreelandella stevensii
Lineage: Bacteria; Pseudomonadati; Pseudomonadota; Gammaproteobacteria; Oceanospirillales; Halomonadaceae
Description: partial 16S ribosomal RNA
Rfam family: Bacterial small subunit ribosomal RNA
Source: RNAcentral